GAUGAAGAACGUAGCGAAAUGCGAUACUUGGUGUGAAUUGCAGAAUCCCGUGAACCAUCGAGUCUUUGAACGCAAGUUGCGCCCGAAGCCAUUAGGCCGAGGGCACGCCUGCCUGGGUGUCACACACCGUUACCCUCGCGCCAACGUCCAUCGUUGGCCGCGGCGCGGGGCGUGCGCUGACCUCCCGCGAGCGGGGUCUCGUGGUUGGUUGAAAAUCGAGUUCGCGGUCGAGGGUGCCGUGAUGAAAUGGUGGAUGGGCGACGCCCGAGGCCAAUCACGCGCGACUCUGUCCGGCUCGAACUCCUGGACCCCUUCGGCGUCUCCGGACGCUCUUUGGCGAGACCUCAGGUCAGGCGGGGCUACCCGCUGAGUUUAAGCAUAUCAAUAAGCGGAGG
This 395-nucleotide unclassified non-coding RNA is filed under the name soil metagenome. Its description in RNAcentral is "partial contains 5.8S ribosomal RNA, internal transcribed spacer 2, and large subunit ribosomal RNA". The stretch from base 1 to 122 matches the Rfam family "5.8S ribosomal RNA", at positions 35 to 154 of the family's 154-position model. The record is from RNAcentral.